This 70-nucleotide transfer RNA is filed under the name Trichogomphus mongol. RNAcentral's name for it is "tRNA-Val". Lineage: Eukaryota; Metazoa; Arthropoda; Insecta; Coleoptera; Scarabaeidae. The record is from RNAcentral.
CAAAUUAGAGCUUGAUAGAAAGCAUUUUAUUUACAUUAAAAGGUUAGUUGUGAGAAUCAAUUUAAUUUGA